Molecule: ribosomal RNA, 387 nt
Filed under: uncultured bacterium
Lineage: Bacteria
Description: bacterial SSU rRNA
Rfam family: Bacterial small subunit ribosomal RNA
Source: RNAcentral
GACGAACGCUGGCGGCGUGCUUAACACAUGCAGGUCGAGCGGUAAGGCCCUUUCGGGGGUACACGAGCGGCGAACGGGUGAGUAACACGUGGGUGACCUGCCCUCAGCUCUGGGAUAAGCCUGGGAAACCGGGUCUAAUACCGGAUAUGACUCCAUGACGCAUGUUGUGGGGUGGAAAGCCUUGUGCGGCUGAGGAUGGGCCCGCGGCCUAUCAGCUUGUUGGUGGGGUGAGGCCUACCAAGGCGACGACGGGUAGCCGGCCUGAGAGGGCGACCGGCCACACUGGGACUGAGACACGGCCCAGACUCCUACGGGAGGCAGCAGUGGGGAAUCUUGCGCAAUGGGCGAAAGCCUGACGCAGCGACGCCGCGUGAGGGAUGACGGCCU